Molecule: ribosomal RNA, 230 nt
Filed under: uncultured Lactobacillus sp.
Lineage: Bacteria; Bacillati; Bacillota; Bacilli; Lactobacillales; Lactobacillaceae
Description: partial 16S ribosomal RNA
Rfam family: Bacterial small subunit ribosomal RNA
Source: RNAcentral
AUAGUCCGGGAUACCACUUGGAAACAGGUGCUAAUACCGGAUAAGAAAGCGGAUCGCAUGAUCAGCUUUUAAAAGGCGGCGUAAGCUGUCGCUAUGGGAUGGCCCCGCGGUGCAUUAGCUAGUUGGUAAGGUAAAGGCUUACCAAGGCGAUGAUGCAUAGCCGAGUUGAGAGACUGAUCGGCCACAUUGGGACUGAGACACGGCCCAAACUCCUACGGGAGGCAGCAGGC